CAGGAGGCAACUCUAUGGGAACUCCCAGGGCUGGCUGGCUGUAGCUGAGGCCUUUCUGCUUGGAGAUAAGGGUAAGACUCUGACCCAGCUUUCCUUUUGCCCACUUGGUGACUGGCAGCAUCUGCAGAGGACUCAUGUGGACUUUAAGGAGAAGGUGCUGCUGUCAGAAGCUAUCAGCUGACCCAAUGGAGUUUAAGGACUCGGAAGCAUCCUUAACUCCUUAUUGGAACUUGUGUUGACUGGCUUGAGAGUCUCCUGUGUAUUCUCUGGUCAAACUGGGCCACUGCUACAAACCCUUUCACCUCCCUAAACCCCAGUCUGGUUGGUGCUGAAGGUGGUUAUCUGAUGUCCAAUUUUCAGGAUGGAGUUGUGGCUCUCUAGUGUUGGGCCCCCUCACACAGGCCUGGAGUGUGCACCUCUGUCCAAGUGCUGCCAAACAGGCAGAACUCCCCCUUCUUGAGGAGCACCAAGUUGCUCAGGUUUGACAUUAGAGGAUUUUGAUUAGACUUCUGUCUUAAUUUUCUGUUGCUGGGACAAAAAUGCCUGACACCCACAAAUUAAAGGAGGAAAGGUUUAUUUUAGCUCAGUUUGUAGCGGUUUCAGUCCAUAGUCGGCUGGCUCCAAGACAGGGUGGCACAGCAGAGGGGCAUGGUAGAGGAUGAAGUCCAUGGCAGGGUAGGCAGGAGGUAGUGAAGCAGCAAAGCAGUAGCAGCAAGACUCCCUUUCCCUUUUAUCCCAUCCAGACUACAAGCCUUUGAGGGGGUGCCAUGCACCCCCAAGAUGGACCUUCCCAUUAUCAACACCCAAAACUUUGCUAAACCAAUCAGUAGACUAAUUUAGUAUCACACACCCUUAAUCCUAGUAUCACAACUCCUAGAUCUAGCCAGCUCUGAAAAGCCCCACAUGAGUGCAUGAGGCUUUGUGAAGACAUCUAGAUAUAACCCAUAACAGCUCCCUUGAUCACAAGGAACAAGAUUAAUAUUACUUCUCAUGGGAUAAAGGCAGGCAGGCCUUGGCCAGCCUAUGUCUAGUUCUCAUCCACACUGCCUUUCCUGGCAAGUUACUGUGGAGUCCUACUCCCACCUUCCUGGCUCUCCUUUAGUUUUCCCUCAUUUCUAAUCAGUCAACACAUUUUUUUUUUUUUUACCAGAAGUAUUUAUUGAUGGAUCAAAGGCUAUAAUUUUAAUGGGACAACUGUGGAUUAAAAGUUUGCUGUACAGCCAAAGGUGGAAAAAGCCAUAAUCUUAGGAACUUUAUGUAAAUCAAGGAGCCUCUGAAGUACCUAAGAGUAGAAAAUUUGCUAUUCAAAGGAAAACAAUCCCAAAAAGGUGAGUAGAAACUGAAAAAACUGGAAAUAAGUUCUACUACCAGUAAUUACAAUGAAGGUAAACACCUUAAACUUAACCCAUCUCUCCCACCUUACUUCUCAUCUCACUUGCCUGCCCCACAUGGAGACCCUGGCAUUUCACCAGGCAUGUGGGGAGGGUACCCAGGUGGGGCAGCCACAGCCCAGCAGUAAAGCAAGUGGGGCCAGUGGUGGCUGAGCCAGUUUGGAAGCGACUGACUUCAUUAUGCAAAUAAAGUCACUAGCUGAGAAAAGAAAUGCACAGAUUGAGGAUAAUGAAAGCCAGUUUUCUCACUUUUUUGAGAAAGCAUUGAUGUGUGAGGUGAGAUGUAAAUACAUAGUGAAUAUUUACAUUUUUAGAAAUUUAUUACAGUACAAGACACUUUGCCAUUCAUUGCCCUCAGAACACUCCCUCUCACUUUGAACACACAUCAUUCUUUCUUUUUGAGACAGAGUCUUGCAAUGUAGUCUAGGCUGGCCUCAAACUCACAGUGAUCCCCCUGCCUCAGCCUCUGGAGGGCUGGGAUCACAGGCAUGAGCUACCACACCAGCCUUUGCAAUUUUCUGAAGCAGUUGUGGAAGUCUUCUCUUGAUUAUACAGGGUGUGAAUGCUGCUAUGAGUGGCAUUCAAGGUAAGGCAGGCUCAUAAAUACAUUGUGUGUUUCAUCCACCUUACUCAUUGGAUGUGAUUCCUAGUUCUUCCCCAAAGUCAAAAUGUUCAUGAAAGGUAAACAAUUUGAAUCAAUUCAGGACAUCAAGGCAGCCAUGAGAGUGCAACUGAAGACAAAAUAGGAUUUCCAGAAUUGCUGCAGAAAGUGGCAAGAAUGAUGGGUAAGUGUAUUUGAAGAAAAGGAGCAUUUUGAGGAUGGUUAAUGGCAAUGUGUAAUAUUAUAAUUAUUUUCUUUAAAAAUUUAAACCUUCAAAAAAAAUUUAAUCCGGGGAUUUAGCUCAGUGAUUUCCCCACCUGCUGAACAAGCGUAAGCGCAAGGACCCGAGUUCGAUCCCCAGUACCAAAAAAAAAAAAAAAGCAGGAAAAAAUUUAAAUGUUCACCAUAUUUAAUCACACCUCGUGUGGUUGAGGGAACAGAAUUUGAGUUCAGAAAUAAAACCUCACACUUGCAGUCAAUUCAUUUUGACAAAUAUCCCAAGUUAUUUUAAUGGAGGAAAGGAUAGUUUUUCCAGAAGCGAUUAUGGGACAAAUGGAUAUCCACAUGCAAAAGAAUGAAGAUGAACCCCCAACUCACACAAUGGACAAAAAUUCAAUAAAACAGAUCACAAACUAUAUAGAACUAUAAGA
RNAcentral lists this long non-coding RNA (2642 nucleotides) under Heterocephalus glaber (naked mole-rat). RNAcentral's name for it is "lncRNA (ENSHGLG00100034014.1)". The record is from RNAcentral. Lineage: Eukaryota; Metazoa; Chordata; Mammalia; Rodentia; Bathyergidae.